GACGAACGCUGGCGGCGCGCUUAACACAUGCAAGUCGAACGGAAAGGCCUGCUUUCCCUUGUGGAUUGCGGGUACUCGAGUGGCGAACGGGUGAGUAACACGUGAGUGAUCUGCCCCCAACUUGGGUAUAAGCCUGGGAAACUGGGUCUAAUUCCCGAUAGGACUGCAGGGUGGUGCCUGUGGUGGAAAACGAUUUUCUAGUGGUUGGGGAUGAGCUCGCGGCCUAUCAGCUUGUUGGUGGGGGAAUGGCCUACCAAGGCGGCGACGGGUAGCCGGCCUGAGAGGGUGGACGGCCACAUUGGGACUGAGAUACGGCCCAGACUCCUACGGGAGGCAGCAGUGGGGAAUAUUGCACGAUGGGCGGAAGCCUGAUGCAGCGACGCCGCGUGGGGGAUGCCGGCCUUCGGGUUGUAAACUCCUUUCGAGCGCGAGGAAGCCACCUGGUUGGAAGGGUGGUGACGGUAGUGGUAGAAGAAGCACCGGCUAACUACGUG
Molecule: ribosomal RNA, 494 nt
Filed under: uncultured bacterium
Lineage: Bacteria
Description: partial 16S ribosomal RNA
Rfam family: Bacterial small subunit ribosomal RNA
Source: RNAcentral